GAUGAACGCUGGCGGCGUGCCUAAUACAUGCAAGUCGAGCGAACAGACGAGGAGCUUGCUUCUCUGAUGUUAGCGGCGGACGGGUGAGUAACACGUGGAUAACCUACCUAUAAGACUGGGAUAACUUCGGGAAACCGGAGCUAAUACCGGAUAAUAUUUUGAACCGCAUGGUUCAAAAGUGAAAGACGGUCUUGCUGUCACUUAUAGAUGGAUCCGCGCUGCAUUAGCUAGUUGGUAAGGUAAUGGCUUACCAAGGCAACGAUGCAUAGCCGACCUGAGAGGGUGAUCGGCCACACUGGAACUGAGACACGGUCCAGACUCCUACGGGAGGCAGCAGUAGGGAAUCUUCCGCAAUGGGCGAAAGCCUGACGGAGCAACGCCGCGUGAGUGAUGAAGGUCUUCGGAUCGUAAAACUCUGUUAUUAGGGAAGAACAUAUGUGUAAGUAACUGUGCACAUCUUGACGGUACCUAAUCAGAAAGCCACGGCUAACUACGUG
Molecule: ribosomal RNA, 497 nt
Filed under: uncultured bacterium
Lineage: Bacteria
Description: partial 16S ribosomal RNA
Rfam family: Bacterial small subunit ribosomal RNA
Source: RNAcentral